Molecule: unclassified non-coding RNA, 382 nt
Filed under: Hevea brasiliensis (rubber tree)
Lineage: Eukaryota; Viridiplantae; Streptophyta; Magnoliopsida; Malpighiales; Euphorbiaceae
Source: RNAcentral
GCCUCAUGUCCAUGGGGCUUUCAUCAUUAAUGUUGGAGAUAUGCUAGAGAGGUGGACUAAUGGCUUGUUCCGGUCAACAAUGCAUAGAGUGUUACCAUUACAAGAGCGCUAUUCAGUUGCAUUCUUUUUGGAUCCAAAUGCUGAUUGCGUGGUUGAGUGCCUGGAAAGUUGUUGCAGUGCGGCAUCUCCGCCAAGGUUUCCUCCAAUAAAGAGCUUCGAGUAUAUAAUGGAGCGUAUAAGGGUUUCUUACUCUAGAAAUACGCCCAAAGUUAUUGCAUGAUGGCUCUGAUAGAAAUACGCUCGAAGUUGUGUUACUAUAUUAUAUGGUGAUGUUAACCAAAUCGUUGGAAUCUGGAUGCUUGUGCUAUACCUCGUGGAAAAA